CAGUCGCCGCGGUAAUACGUAGGGUGCAAGCGUUAAUCGGAAUUACUGGGCGUAAAGCGUGCGCAGGCGGUUAUAUAAGUCAGAUGUGAAAUCCCCGGGCUCAACCUGGGAACUGCAUUUGAGACUGUAUGGCUAGAGUGUGUCAGAGGGGGGUAGAAUUCCACGUGUAGCAGUGAAAUGCGUAGAUAUGUGGAGGAAUACCGAUGGCGAAGGCAGCCCCCUGGGAUAACACUGACGCUCAUGCACGAAAGCGUGGGGAGCAAACAGGAUUAGAUACCCGCGUAGUCCCUGUCUCUUAUAA
Molecule: ribosomal RNA, 301 nt
Filed under: uncultured bacterium
Lineage: Bacteria
Description: partial 16S ribosomal RNA
Rfam family: Bacterial small subunit ribosomal RNA
Source: RNAcentral